RNAcentral lists this transfer RNA (62 nucleotides) under Paratomella rubra. RNAcentral describes it as "tRNA-Asp". Lineage: Eukaryota; Metazoa; Xenacoelomorpha; Acoela; Paratomellidae. The record is from RNAcentral.
AGAAUUGUAAUUUAAAAAAAAUAUUAUUUUGUCAAGAUAAAAAUCUAUAAUUAGUUAUUCUG